GUACUUACCUGGCAGGGGAGAUACCUUGAUCACAAAGGUUGUUUUCCCAGGGCAAGGCUUAUCCAUUGCACUCCGGAUGUGCUGACCCCUGCGAUUUCCCCAAAUGCGGGAAACUUGACUGCAUAAUUUGUGGUAGUGGGGAACUGCGUUCGCGCUCUCCCCUG
RNAcentral lists this small nuclear RNA (164 nucleotides) under Microtus ochrogaster (prairie vole). Its description in RNAcentral is "U1 spliceosomal RNA (ENSMOCG00000003940.1)". It matches the Rfam family "U1 spliceosomal RNA". From Rfam's summary of the family: U1 is a small nuclear RNA (snRNA) component of the spliceosome (involved in pre-mRNA splicing). Its 5' end forms complementary base pairs with the 5' splice junction, thus defining the 5' donor site of an intron. The record is from Rfam by way of RNAcentral. Lineage: Eukaryota; Metazoa; Chordata; Mammalia; Rodentia; Cricetidae.